RNAcentral lists this ribosomal RNA (484 nucleotides) under uncultured bacterium. RNAcentral describes it as "partial 16S ribosomal RNA". It matches the Rfam family "Bacterial small subunit ribosomal RNA", at positions 28 to 523 of the family's 1533-position model. The record is from RNAcentral.
GACGAACGCUGGCGGCGUGCUUAACACAUGCAAGUCGAACGAUGAAGCUGGAGCUUGCUCCGGUGGAUUAAUGGCGAACGGGUGAGUAACACGUGAGUAAUCUGCCCUUGACUCUGGGAUAACUGCGGGAAACUGUAGCUAAUACCGGAUACGACACCUUCGGGCAUCCGAUGGGUGUGGAAAGAAUUUCGGUCAAGGAUGAACUCGCGGCCUUUCAGCUAGUUGGUGAGGUAAUGGCUCACCAAGGCGACGACGGGUAGCCGGCCUGAGAGGGUGACCGGCCACACUGGGACUGAGACACGGCCCAGACUCCUACGGGAGGCAGCAGUGGGGAAUAUUGCACAAUGGGCGAAAGCCUGAUGCAGCAACGCCGCGUGAGGGAUGAAGGCCUUCGGGUUGUAAACCUCUUUUAGUUGGGAAGAAGCGAAAGUGACGGUACCAACAGAAAAAGCACCGGCUAACUACGUGCCAGCCGCCGCAGUAA